UCUAGAUGUGUAUAAGAGACAGCACCCGUUCCCAUCCCGAACACGGAAGUUAAGCUCUUCAGCGCCGAUGGUAGUUGGGGGCUUCCCCCUGUGAGAGUAGGACGCUGCCAGAC
Molecule: ribosomal RNA, 113 nt
Filed under: Bacillus thermotolerans
Lineage: Bacteria; Bacillati; Bacillota; Bacilli; Caryophanales; Bacillaceae
Source: RNAcentral